This 267-nucleotide ribosomal RNA is filed under the name uncultured bacterium. RNAcentral's name for it is "partial 16S ribosomal RNA". It matches the Rfam family "Bacterial small subunit ribosomal RNA", at positions 793 to 1055 of the family's 1533-position model. The record is from RNAcentral.
GUCCACGCCCUAAACGGUGCAUACUAGCUGUUGGCGGAAUCGACCCCGCCAGUGGCCAAGCUAACGCGAUAAGUAUGCCGCCUGAGGACUACGGCCGCAAGGCUAAAACUAAAAGGAAUUGACGGGGGCCCGCACAAGCGGUGGAGCAUGUGGCUUAAUUCGAUGCAACGCGAAGAACCUUACCUGGCCUUGACAUGCAAGUAGUAGAAGCCUGAAAGGGUGACGAUCCCGCAAGGGAAGCUUGCACAGGUGCUGCAUGGCUGUCGU